ACACGACUACAUUAGAUACCCGGGUAGUCCAGGGUGUAAACGCUGCAGACUUGGUGUUGGAAGUCCUUUGGGGGCAUUCAGUGCCGGAGAGAAGUUGUUAAGUCUGCUACUUGGGGAGUACGUCCGCAAGGAUGAAACUUAAAGGAAUUGGCGGGGGAGCACCGCAACGGGAGGAGCGUGCGGUUUAAUUGGAUUCAACACCGUAAACUCACCAGGGAAGACUGUUACAUGAAAGCCGAGAUGAAGACUCUGCUAGAUUUUCAG
Molecule: ribosomal RNA, 264 nt
Filed under: uncultured archaeon
Lineage: Archaea
Description: partial 16S ribosomal RNA
Rfam family: Archaeal small subunit ribosomal RNA
Source: RNAcentral